Molecule: ribosomal RNA, 111 nt
Filed under: uncultured fungus
Lineage: Eukaryota; Fungi
Description: partial 18S ribosomal RNA
Source: RNAcentral
CAAAGCAGGCUAGUGCCUGAAUACAUUAGCAUGGAAUAAUAAAAUAGGACGGCAUGGUUCUAUUUUGUUGGUUUCUAGGAUCACCGUAAUGAUUAAUAGGGAUAGUUGGGA